Long non-coding RNA from Piliocolobus tephrosceles (Ugandan red Colobus), 1738 nucleotides. NCBI's taxonomy places the organism in Eukaryota, Metazoa, Chordata, Mammalia, Primates, Cercopithecidae. The record is from Ensembl.
AAAAUAAAUUAGAAGAUUUGUCAUUAUUAGAAACGUAUGAAAAAUUAUAUAAUGAUAAAAUGUACCAUGCGAGUUAUGAAAAUAAUAUAAAUUAUAUCAGUAUUUUAAACGAAAGAAAUCAAAGCAAUACAGAUAAUAAAAGUAAUACAGAUAAUAAAAGUAAUACAUAUAAUAAAAGUAAUACAUAUAAUAAAAUAAAAAAAAUUGUAAAAAGUAAUACAGUAAAGGAAAAUAAUUUUGAACAGGAAAAUAUUUUGAGCGAUAUGGAACAAAUUAAUGAACUACCAAACGAGUAUUAUAAUAAUAAAUGUACAAAUGCUUUAUUAGAUAUUAAUAGUGGCAAAUCAAAUAUGUACAAAUUAUAUGGUGCUGAUGGUGGUGUUGUUGCUGGUGGUGUUGUCGCUGAUGGUGGUGAUGGUGGUGAUAGUGGCGAUAGUGGUGAUGGUGGUGAUGGUAAUGACAAAAUGAGCAGUUUAAUUAUAAAUCCAAAUGAAAAAUAUAAAAUACCAUAUUUAAGUUCAUAUAAUAAAAAUUAUAACGAUUUGAAUAAGGACAUAAACCAAUAUAAAUCUGAAUUUGAUGAUAAUGAUGUUAUAAUAAAUGCAAAAAAAUUAAGUAAAAAAAGUGAUAAUUUAAUCGAAGAUAUAUUUAGUCCGAAUAAUAUAUGUCCCGAUGAAAUAUUUGAAAAAAUGAAUAAUGACAUAAGUACCCAGUGUAUGAAUAUAAAACUUGAUAGAGAUAUAUUAAGUGAAGAAAAUAUUUUGAAAACAGCUAAUGAAAUUUUAUUAGAAGAAUAUUUAAAUGAACCAAAACUAGAAACAGAAGAAGUAGUUUAUAAUUCCCAUUUAAAUAUGUACGGGGAUGAAGAUAUGAAUAUGUUAAAAAAAAAAAGAAAAAAUGAUAAAUUUAUACAAAAAAGUAAUGAAAUUAUAAUGAGUCAAAUAACAGAUACAAAUUAUAUGAAUAUAUUACAUAAACACAAUUUAAAUAAUAAUAAAUCUCUUAAAUUGAUGUUAAAAAAAAAUAAUAGUUGUAUAGAUUCUUCUAUAGUUGAUAAUGUUAACAAUAAUAGUAUUAUUAAUUAUGAAAAUAAUUAUAACAACGAAGGUGAAUAUAAUAAUAAUAAUAAUAUAAGUGUGUACAAGAAGAACAUGUAUGGUACUCAUAACAUAGACGGUACAUUAUACAACAUUUCCUCAGAUAAAUAUGAUAAUAACGAUUAUAAUCAGAACGAUAACAAUAAUAAUAAUAAUAAUAACAGGUGUAGUAGUAUUAAUAAUAAUCACCAACAACAUCGUAAUACAUAUAUUAUCCCUCCAUCAUAUGGUGAUAAUAUUAUAAUGAAAUAUGAAGCUUAUAUUAACAAUAAAAAUUAUAACAGCUAUUAUAAUAAUAAUAGUAGCAAUAAUAAUGUUCAACUUGUUGCUAUUAAUAAUGGUAAAGGUAGUGAUAGUAACUCUUGUAUUUCUAACAACAAUGAUACUAUAAUUGUUCUGAACGAAAAUAGCAUUAAUUUAUUAAUAAAAAAUAAUAUGCUUAAAUUUACUACAUUUUUAAAAAACAUAUACAAACAUACGAAAAUAAACGAUUUAAAUGAUGGCUUAUAUAACUAUUAUAGAUUUAUAAAUAAAAUAAAUGCUAAUAUUAAGGAAGCUAGCUAUGAUAUGGUAUAUAAACAUUUAAUGCAAAAUAGUGAUAAAGACAAAUUAUUACGAAUACAAUUAUCUUAUAUGAUAAU